RNAcentral lists this ribosomal RNA (324 nucleotides) under Bacillus subtilis. Its description in RNAcentral is "bacterial SSU rRNA". It matches the Rfam family "Bacterial small subunit ribosomal RNA", at positions 1 to 313 of the family's 1533-position model. Lineage: Bacteria; Bacillati; Bacillota; Bacilli; Caryophanales; Bacillaceae. The record is from RNAcentral.
AUUUAUCGGAGAGUUUGAUCCUGGCUCAGGACGAACGCUGGCGGCGUGCCUAAUACAUGCAAGUCGAGCGGACAGRUGGGAGCUUGCUCCCUGAUGUUAGCGGCGGACGGGUGAGUAACACGUGGGUAACCUGCCUGUAAGACUGGGAUAACUCCGGGAAACCGGGGCUAAUACCGGAUGGUUGUUUGAACCGCAUGGUUCAAACAUAAAAGGUGGCUUCGGCUACCACUUACAGAUGGACCCGCGGCGCAUUAGCUAGUUGGUGAGGUAACGGCUCACCAAGGCRACGAUGCGUAGCCGACCUGAGAGGGUGAUCGGCCACAC